CUCACUCCCAUCUCUCGCAAAGACCCACAACCCUACCUUGUGCUGAACUGGCGAAAACCUCUCCGACGAAAACCCCUCUGGCAAAGAACCCCUCCAUCGAAGAACCCCUCCAUCGAAGAACCCCUCCGCCGAAGAACGCCCACCCUCCACCCUCAAUUCGAUCCUCUCUUUAAUUCAUUCUCUCCCCACAUUCACUCUUCGAUUUUCGUUCGUUCACGCUCAUUCUCUAGAAUUCGAAGGCUCUUCUUGAUUCUCUUCUUUCUCUCCUUUAUCCUCAUCUCAAUCUUUAGAAUUUGGAGGCUCCAACAUCUUCGUGAUUUGCAAAGAAGAGAUCUCUACGAUGCAGAGAAGACCUAAACCUUAAACGGACGAGUUCUGAAAAGGGAGGUUGUUUCUGGGAAGCAAUCGACCUUAUUCAAGUUCUUGGCUCCUCUUGCUUACGCCUUAUUUUUCCUAGUUAGAAUUGUGUUGUGGAAAAACCCUAUUAUGAGGAAUCAGCUGUUCACGACAGUUUUGGUUGGUGCUUUUUUCCAUGAGUAUUACUUGGUGUAUCCUCUUAACCCUUAUAUUUGCUUUAAUUUUAUCAUUGCCUCUAUCAUAUUGAAUUCACAUUCUUGAAUCUCUUGUGAUUUCCGUGUAUCUUUGUUCAUUUGUUGAUGAUAUGCAUCUACUGUUCUGUAAGUUUAUCUUCUUAUUUAAGAAUUUUAUGUUUGGCCCACCAUUGAUUGCUAUGUAUUGUAGAACCGAAUUGGUGGGAUAUUUAGACUAAUGUGGAGUUGGAAAUUAACGUAAUCUAAGUUCAAAAAUUUUCAAAGGUGUUGAUUGGUCUGUUAACUACAAAAGUAUUGGGUGUUUUUCAUUUGUUUGAAUGUAAUUAAGCCGAUGUGGUGGCUCGAGGAUACAGUGGCUACAAUACGAGAUGGGCGCUUAAGGUCAUUGAACGAGUCUUCCCACCAUCAGAAGAACGGGUGCUGCCAGAGAAGGUGCCGCCUCACCACUUGCUGUGAUGAUUGUUAAAAAUUGUGUCAAGCAAUUAACCCUUCUAAGAGGAUACAUAGAGAAAAUUGUGGAGGACGCAAAAUGCUGUAACUUUUACUUUUGGGUCUUUACAAUUUUGGGGAGGCGGCUAUUUAAUAUUAUAAAUGAUUUGCCAACAGUAUUUGAAGUGGUCACCAAUAUUGCAAAGAAACAAGUUAAGGAAAAAUCAUCAAAUCCAAGUCAAGUUUUAAAUUGAUUGGCUCUGCCGUUGGUGGUACUUAUUUUAGCUCAUGAAUUGGAGGUAGUAGAGGAUGCAAAAUGCAAGUUUAUUUCAAGCCAAGUUUCAUUCAAGGUCAUUGAGUUGGGUUGAUAGAAGUAAUGUUUUGUAUAUAACUAUAUCGAACAAAUAUGUAAAGUUUUCGAAAUGUUGAUACAUAUAUGGUAAAAUGUUAAUAUAUGUUAAAGUUUUGGAA
Long non-coding RNA from Cucumis melo (muskmelon), 1451 nucleotides. RefSeq lists it as uncharacterized. NCBI's taxonomy places the organism in Eukaryota, Viridiplantae, Streptophyta, Magnoliopsida, Cucurbitales, Cucurbitaceae. The record is from RefSeq and is a predicted model, not a curated record. The transcript is spliced from 5 exons.